RNAcentral lists this ribosomal RNA (460 nucleotides) under uncultured bacterium. Its description in RNAcentral is "partial 16S ribosomal RNA". It matches the Rfam family "Bacterial small subunit ribosomal RNA", at positions 338 to 795 of the family's 1533-position model. The record is from RNAcentral.
CCUACGGGAGGCAGCAGUGAGGAAUAUUGGUCAAUGGCCGGAAGGCUGAACCAGCCAUGCCGCGUGAAGGUCAGUGCCCUAUGGGCGUUAAACUUCUUUUGUGCGGGAGCAAUAAUGGUCACGUGUGGCCAGACGAGAGUACCGUACGAAUAAGCAUCGGCUAACUCCGUGCCAGCAGCCGCGGUAAUACGGGGGAUGCAAGCGUUAUCCGGAUUUAUUGGGUUUAAAGGGUGCGUAGGCUGUGAGGUAAGUCAGCGGGGAAAUGCCCCCGCUCAACGGGGUGAAGUGCCAUUGAUACUGCCUUGCUGGAAUGCGGAUGCCGUGGGAGGAAUGUGUGGUGUAGCGGUGAAAUGCAUAGAUAUCACACAGAACACCGAGUGCGAAGGCAUCUCACGAAUCCGCGAUUGACGCUGAUACACGAAAGCGUGGGUAUCAAACAGGAUUAGAUACCCUUGUAGUC